GAUGAAGAACGCAGCGAAAUGCGAUAAGUGAUGUGAAUUGCAGAAUUCAGUGAAUCAUCGAAUCUUUGAACGCACAUUGCGCCCGCCAGUAUUCUGGCGGGCAUGCCUGUUCGAGCGUCAUUUCAACCAUCAAGCCCCAGGCUUGUGUUGGAGCCCUGCGGCUGCCGCAGCCUCCCAAAACCAGUGGCGGGCUCGCUAUCACACCGAGUGCAGUAGUUUACUCUUCGCUCAGGGCGUGUGGCGGGUGCUAGCCGUGAAACCCCCAACUUCUCAAGGUUGACCUCGGAUCAGGUAGGAAUACCCGCUGAACUUAAGCAUAUCAAUAAGCGGAGGA
Molecule: unclassified non-coding RNA, 334 nt
Filed under: soil metagenome
Description: partial contains 5.8S ribosomal RNA, internal transcribed spacer 2, and large subunit ribosomal RNA
Rfam family: 5.8S ribosomal RNA (bases 1-120)
Source: RNAcentral